This 423-nucleotide ribosomal RNA is filed under the name uncultured bacterium. Its description in RNAcentral is "partial 16S ribosomal RNA". It matches the Rfam family "Bacterial small subunit ribosomal RNA", at positions 355 to 770 of the family's 1533-position model. The record is from RNAcentral.
UAGGGAAUCUUCCACAAUGGACGCAAGUCUGAUGGAGCAACGCCGCGUGAGUGAAGAAGGUCUUCGGAUCGUAAAGCUCUGUUGUUGGUGAAGAAGGAUAGAGGCAGUAACUGGUCUUUAUUUGACGGUAAUCAACCAGAAAGUCACGGCUAACUACGUGCCAGCAGCCGCGGUAAUACGUAGGUGGCAAGCGUUGUCCGGAUUUAUUGGGCGUAAAGCGAGCGCAGGCGGAAUGAUAAGUCUGAUGUGAAAGCCCACGGCUCAACCGUGGAACCGCAUCGGAAACUGUCAUUCUUGAGUGCAGAAGAGGAGAGUGGAACUCCAUGUGUAGCGGUGGAAUGCGUAGAUAUAUGGAAGAACACCAGUGGCGAAGGCGGCUCUCUGGUCUGCAACUGACGCUGAGGCUCGAAAGCAUGGGUAGCG